GGCUGCAGUACUCUGACUGUACUAAGGUAGCGUGAUGUAUGUUUUCUUAAUUAGAAAUCUGUUCAAAGAAUGAUAUGGGGAGACUCUCUUUCUUUUAGAUUAAAUAAACUUAAAAUUUAAGUGAAAAUUCUUAACUCUUUAAAAAAGACGAGAAGACCCCACAAAUCUUAAUUUAUUUACAUGGGGACUAUUGAGUAUUCUAAUAGAUCUAAUCUUUAUUCUUUGCUAAGUUACUUUGGGGAUAACAGGGUAAAGGACCUGGAGAGUUCAUAUCGAUAGGUUCAUCUACUACCUCGAUGUUGGAUUAUCUUAUCAUCUAUGUUGUAGCAGCAUAGAUUGUUAGUCUGUUCGACUAAUAAAAAGUUACGUGAUCUGAGUUC
This 380-nucleotide ribosomal RNA is filed under the name Keratella cochlearis tecta. Its description in RNAcentral is "partial 16S ribosomal RNA". It matches the Rfam family "Bacterial large subunit ribosomal RNA", at positions 1929 to 2612 of the family's 2925-position model. Lineage: Eukaryota; Metazoa; Rotifera; Eurotatoria; Ploima; Brachionidae. The record is from RNAcentral.